This 239-nucleotide ribosomal RNA is filed under the name uncultured bacterium. Its description in RNAcentral is "partial 16S ribosomal RNA". It matches the Rfam family "Bacterial small subunit ribosomal RNA", at positions 15 to 257 of the family's 1533-position model. The record is from RNAcentral.
GAUCAUGGCUCAGAUUGAACGCUGGCGGCAGGCUUAACACAUGCAAGUCGAGCGGGGAAGUAUAGCUUGCUAUACGACCUAGCGGCGGACGGGUGAGUAAUGCUUAGGAAUCUGCCUAUUAGUGGGGGACAACAUUCCGAAAGGAAUGCUAAUACCGCAUACGCCCUACGGGGAAAGCAGGGGAUCUUCGGACCUUGCGCUAAUAGAUGAGCCUAAGUCAGAUUAGCUAGUUGGUGGGG